GGUCAUAACCUGCAAUAUAUGCACAGCAAGGAUGAGAUAAUAAACUUCAAUUGGAAGGAACAACUGCUCACUUUGCAUAUUAAACCAGGUGUGAUUGAGCUAUAACCAUCAGCAAAAGUGAGAAUAAAUUUGAUGACUACACUUAAAACUAGUCCAAAGCAUAAAUGCCACAAACCUUACAGAAACUACUAUUAAAAAGCCUCAUAACAAUAACUCAAAACAAUGCAAAGUUUUCACAAUCUGUUCUGAAGACAUAUUUACACAAAAAUAAGAAAAGAAAUUUUAAUCUCAUGAAAUGGAC
RNAcentral lists this unclassified non-coding RNA (301 nucleotides) under Hevea brasiliensis (rubber tree). The record is from RNAcentral. Lineage: Eukaryota; Viridiplantae; Streptophyta; Magnoliopsida; Malpighiales; Euphorbiaceae.